UACGUAGGUGGCAAGCGUUGUCCGGAUUUAUUGGGUUUAAAGGGAGCGUAGGCGGGUUGUUAAGUCAGUUGUGAAAGUUUGCGGCUCAACCGUAAAAUUGCAGUUGAUACUGGCAUCCUUGAGUACAGUAGAGGUAGGCGGAAUUCGUGGUGUAGCGGUGAAAUGCUUAGAUAUCACGCAGAACUCCGAUUGCGAAGGCAGCAUACCGGCGCGCAACUGACGCUCAUGCACGAAAGCGUGGGUAUCGAACAGG
Molecule: ribosomal RNA, 253 nt
Filed under: uncultured Bacteroides sp.
Lineage: Bacteria; Pseudomonadati; Bacteroidota; Bacteroidia; Bacteroidales; Bacteroidaceae
Description: partial 16S ribosomal RNA
Rfam family: Bacterial small subunit ribosomal RNA
Source: RNAcentral